GUUUUGGCUCAGUGUCUUUGAGUCCCAGUGAUACCAAGAGGCUGCGAUUUGUGNUUUUGCAGUUCUGUUCGCGGAGACAGACGUGAUGACCUUUGAACUGCUGACAGCUCCGUCCUAGAUCGCACCUAAAAGUCAUUUUUAAUUAAGAGGAUCCCCGCUGGGGUUUAGGGAUCCACCUUUUACUUUUUCCCAGUCCGGGCAUGCGUGUGACGUCCCUCCCCCUGUCACCCUCCCACUUCCCCUGAAGUCCUGCGAUUAUUUCUCUUCCUGUUUCUUGCACAAAUCGCUGCUUCGCGUUGCUCUUNCUUCAAAAACUUUGCUUCGCUGCAAUGGCCGGGAGCAGUGCUCUAGCUCAGCCCAGGAACGCCGGCUGGGUCUCGUGGAGGGCAGAUGAGACUAUGGACCUUCUCGANAUCUGGGGGGAAAGGAAGAUUCAAGAGCAGCUGCGCAGCAGCCACCGAAACCUGGAUACUUUUGCCUGUGUGGCCCGUGAAAUGGCUGCCCGAGGGCAUCGCCGGACUGCCGUGGAGUGCCGCUCGAAGACCAAGGUGCUUCGUUUGGAAUACAAACGUGUCAUCACGCACAAUGCCCGCUCUGGGAAUAACAGGAAAACUUGCCCUUUCUUCAACCAGCUUCACCGCAUCCUCAGGGGUGAUGCAAGCGUGAAGCCGAAGAGAGUGGCACGGAGUCUGGAUUUCCCUCGUGCACAGCCAGCAGUAGGAGGAGGAGGGGGAGGAGGAGGAGGAGAGGGAUAUUCUUCACCAACCCCACAUCCCAAGGAGAUGUUUAUGCUCGGCCUGGAGCCCAUGAAGGAUGUGCAAGAGUACUUUGGAGAAAAUGCAGUCAAUGGAUGUUCCGCAUCCAGCAAUGUGCAGGAAAACCACGAUGUGCAGAACGAGAUCCCGCAAGAGUCGUCUGAGAUUAUUUUGCCGUGCAAAGUUGAAGAGGAUGACCCAGCAGUAACUGAUACAGAUGAAACUGUGAAUGUACCGCAAGUCAACCCAGAAGAGCCUAUGAAUCCCACUGAGCCUGCCAUAGUUAAUCCACAGCCCACGUUGUCCCCCGUGACACGGCUGGCACAGCUGCACACUAAGAAGAAAAGGGGGGAACGGGCAGAGGCCAUGUUCAANAUGUUUCUUGAACAUGCGCGAGAGGAAAAUGCACAGGCCAGACUGGAUCACCAGAGGGAGAAGGACGAAUUCCUCUCUGUCAUGAAAGAAGACUCUGCUGUAAUGCAGCAGAUACUGGUAGCAAUACAGACAGAAUGUACAGAGAGCACCAGAGACAGGAAGCAGUAUAUUGACUCGAUGAACAGAAACUACACAGUUCUGACAUCUAUAGCCAACAGUUUGGACAGACUGACUGCUGCAAUGCAGGCAUCUACUGUGCCGGCAUCUACUAACGUCUGUUCCUGUCAAAGUGCCGAUAGGCAAAAUGGAAAUGUGCAGACAUCAAAAACGCAGCACUGGAGCAGGAGCGAAACAGUUGCCCUCCUUAUCAACAUUAAAAACAGUGAGGGGGUUGCCCUCCUGUUCGGAAGUACCUCGUGCCGCAGCAAGAGAUACUGGCGGCAGAUUCAGCGUUCAAUGUGUAGCCUUGGCUACAGCAGGACUGAGGAGCAACUCGUAUCCAAAUGGAAGUGCCUCAAGAACGACUUUAUAAUGCAGGGUGAGGCCGCAGCCAGGGGAGUCGUGCAGCCAGAAAAUCCUCCAGAGUUCUAUGAAAGAGUGAAGCAGGUCUGGGUGGCAGCUGGACAGCCACACUUCCAGGACAGCCACAUGCCUGAGAUACACCGAAGGCAGCUUCUGAGGGAACAGCAUAGGAGGCAGCAGGAGGAGGAAUAUGAUGAUGAAGAGGAGGAGGAAGAUGAUGAUGAUGAAGAAUAUGAAUAUGAAUAUGAGGUGGAAGAGGAGGANGAAGAGGAGGAGGAGGAACCUGGAGAUGGAGAUGGACUAGAAAGUCAAGUUAUGGUGAAAGAGCAGGGAAGGACACAAGAGAAACAUCAGCAAGAGGGGGCCAUAAUUCUUAACAAAUCUCCAACACAUCAAUUAGGCACAGUCAUCCAGGAUCCCAGAGAACUGAGCAGCCAAUAGUCACUGAAGAGUGAAGAGCUUGGAAAAUAAAUUGGACAUUCCCCUGAGGAGAUAUUUUGUU
Molecule: long non-coding RNA, 2154 nt
Organism: Salvator merianae (Argentine black and white tegu)
Lineage: Eukaryota; Metazoa; Chordata; Lepidosauria; Squamata; Teiidae
Source: Ensembl